AUUGAACGCUGGCGGCAGGCUUAACACAUGCAAGUCGAGCGGGGGAAGGUAGCUUGCUACCGGACCUAGCGGCGGACGGGUGAGUAAUGCUUAGGAAUCUGCCUAUUAGUGGGGGACAACAUCUCGAAAGGGAUGCUAAUACCGCAUACGUCCUACGGGAGAAAGCAGGGGAUCUUCGGACCUUGCGCUAAAUGAUGAGCCUAAGUCGGAUUAGCUAGUUGGUGGGGUAAAGGCCUACCAAGGCGACGAUCUGUAGCGGGUCUGAGAGGAUGAUACGCCACACUGGGACUGAGACACGGCCCCGACUCCUACGGGAGGAAGCAGUGGGGAAUAUUGGACAAUGGGCGGAAGCCUGAUCCAGCCAUGCCGCGUGUGUGAAGAAGGCCUUAUGGUUGUAAAGCACUUUAAGCGAGGAGGAGGCUACUAGUAUUAAUACUACUGGAUAGUGGACGUUACUCGCAGAAUAAGCACCGGCUAACUCUGUGCCAGCCGCCGCUGUAA
RNAcentral lists this ribosomal RNA (501 nucleotides) under uncultured bacterium. Its description in RNAcentral is "partial 16S ribosomal RNA". It matches the Rfam family "Bacterial small subunit ribosomal RNA", at positions 30 to 523 of the family's 1533-position model. The record is from RNAcentral.